Non-coding RNA from Chrysemys picta bellii (western painted turtle), 2074 nucleotides. NCBI's taxonomy places the organism in Eukaryota, Metazoa, Chordata, Testudines, Emydidae. The record is from RefSeq and is a predicted model, not a curated record.
CAGUGUUAAGAAAUCAGGUGCAGUCAGAUGUAUAACUUUGUGUUUGAACAUGAUAUAAAGAUUGUGGGUUUACUUGCAGUGACAGAAGGUUUUGGUUUUACAGGUACUUGCCUCCAGAGUGUUUUGUAGUUGGCAAAGAGCCACCAAAGAUUUCAAACAAGGUUGAUGUAUGGUCAGUUGGAGUAAUCUUUUUCCAGUGUCUUUAUGGAAGAAAGCCAUUUGGUCAUAAUCAAUCACAACAAGAUAUCCUACAAGAAAACACAAUAUUAAAAGCCACAGAAGUCCAGUUCCCAGUUAAACCUGUUGUAAGCAAUGAAGCCAAGGCCUUUAUCAGACGCUGUUUAGCAUACCGCAAAGAAGAUCGAUUUGAUGUCCACCAGCUGGCUAAUGAUCCUUAUCUUCUCCCUCACAUGAGAAGAUCAAAUUCUUCAGGAAACUUACAUAUGACUGGGCUGGCAGCAUCCCCUACGCCACCUACUUCAAGCAUUAUUUCGUACUGAAAUUUCUCCAAGUGAAGACUGGCAUGAUAUAUUUAUAGUUUCCAGAUGCAGACUAGUUUGUGAGCAUUUGAGUGUUUUUACACAGGACAACUUUGAUUACUGUGUUUUCAGACUGAAGUCCUCCUGCUUAGUGUCCAUUUGUUUGAUGGGAAUGGAUCAUGGACUGUGAAUAAAUAUACCCUUUUGACUGUAACCUUUAAACAUUGAAGAAUGAUACUGCUUGUUGCACACAAAUCGAUGUGCUGUGUUUAAGAGUAAAGAAAAGGUUUUGGGGUUUUUUGGGGAACACUGUAAAUAAUCUUUUUAAUACUUAUAAAGUACAUUUGGUUGAUACUGGAGAGUGCUAACAUGAAGGGUAGUUUUUCAUUAUUUAAAUAAGAAAAGUAAUGGACAAAUUUGAACACACAGGAAAGGUUCAGUGUCUGGACAAAAAAAAACAACAACAAAAAACCUACUUCCCAAGUGGUUGAAACCAAAGUAAGAAGUGAGUGUCACAGUUGUAUUCUGUAUAAAGCUUUUCUGAAAAAGUUAUAAUCUUUUGUUUGGCUAUUUGGUCUUAUUAAAGGCUGUACCUCAAAACCCAUGUGUCCUCGUUUCACUGAGAUUUGAAGGGUGAUGCAUAGUUUCUGGUACAUUAUCCCUCAAAUAGCUAAUUUUGAACCCAUCUACAUUCUUUAAAUUUAUUAUACUUGUCACAAGUUUUGACAAUGCUGCCACUUUCCAGGCCUUUGAGAAAAGUAAAUGAUAACCUGUCUGCGCUUGGAUAUAUGCUAUGUAUGAUGUUCUAUGCAGGAUAAUGAUGAAUUCCCUUCUAAUGCUAUUGUAAAUUGUUGUACAGAGGUCAUAUUUUUAGUUAUUAAAUUUCAGCCACUUAUUCCUGUACAAAUGUUUAAAGUAUGGCUUUUUCUAAUUGGAUAUUGUAUUUUUUUUUAAGUCUCCUUGAAGGCGCUUUUAAUUGCUGCUAAAUUAUGUUGCUUUUACUUUUGCAGAAGAAUCAAAUGACCUCCUUAAAGUGCAAGUCAGCUGUACGUUAUAGAGAGAUUAAAAGUAGAUGAUUCAUUAACAAUCAAGGCAUGUAAAAGAAAUCUGUGUUGGACAUAUACAGUACAGUUCUUUAAGUCAGUUUCUUGUGCUCUCAACCUGUGGAGCACAUUGAUACUAGAUAUAGAAGUUGUUCAUGGUUAUUUUCUAUUUCUGGAAGUUCCUAUCAACAAGGAAAUGUUUCUUGUGGCUUGUACAGAUAUUUUAAAAUGUGAAACAUUUUCUAACUGCCUUGUAUGGUAGAAAUUUAUUUUUCAGAACUCUCUCUCUUACAUACAUUAUUCCUUUUACUGUCCCAUUCAUGAUGCUGAAUACCUAGAUGUAAUUUUGUCCAUGCUGCAGAAAAAGGAGGCUGUAUUACCACAGGUUUUCAUUUAAUAUUGUACAGUUAAACUGUGGCUCUUGUUUUUGAUGUUGCAAGCCAUUUUGUUUUCAUUGUACAUAAAGAUACAUUAACUGUCUCUUUAAGAUGCUGCUGAAAUUGUAGAGAAUGUAGCCAAAACAGUAAUAAACAAUGACAGUUGAAAUUUCAA